RNAcentral lists this long non-coding RNA (265 nucleotides) under Patiria miniata (bat star). Its description in RNAcentral is "uncharacterized LOC119733217". The record is from RNAcentral. Lineage: Eukaryota; Metazoa; Echinodermata; Asteroidea; Valvatida; Asterinidae.
GGAGGACCGACAGAUGAACGGAUGACCUGCUUGCUGGGCUACCCAUUACUGAUUCUUGAGCUGAUCGAAAUCAACCAGUCUGAGUUAGUUCUCUUGGUUGGGGAGUUAUUUGGGUGGUAACGAAGCAGUGGACCAGGCAAUCAAUCGAGCACACCAUUGAGACAUGGAUCAACCUCCACUGAUUGACGGAGUAGUGCUGAAUAAGAUUGACACCAUUGAUGAUAAAUGAACAACUUUAUUUACCGUGUGGGACGUCAUCCCACCU